GAAGCAGGAAAUCAUGUCUCUCCUGCAAGUGCAAUUCUUUUUAUCCAAAAUCUGCUAACAAGAUGCAAGAUGAAUUUGCAUAAAGGGGAGGAUUCCAAUUUUGGAAGGGUUUAAAGGGACUAUAGCAGUCUUCCAAUUUGAGUUUCCCCAAAAGCUCAAUUCUGCAUCAUGGAGUGGUCUCUGCUCUUGGCCUUCUUCUUCUUAUGGUGGACAGGAGCCAACUCACAGUAUACCUUGACUCAGCCUGCGGCACAAUCGUUCCCUCCAGGACAACCAGCAAAGAUCUCAUGUACCAUGAGCCGAGACAGCCAAGUGGGCAGUUAUACCAUAUAUUGGUACCAACAGAAGGCUGGAGAGAGCCCCAAAUACCUUCUCAAUAAUGCUGGCAGCAGUGGGCGGUUCACUGGGUCCAAGGACACCUCUGCCAAUGCAGCCUAUUUAACCGUUACAAACCUCCAGCCUGAGGAUGAGGAUGAUUAUUAUUGUGGUGGUGGUUACAGCAGUGGCAGCAACUGGUGGUAUCCACAGUGAUACAAUCACUUGCAGAAGUGAGACAAAAACCUCCCCUUGUGAACACUUCCUUCUUCCCCUUCGUGAACCAUCAGCCUGGCCUGUGAAAUAUUUACACAGUUAAUACUUAGAGAGCAGAGUCAGUUCUUCUCUCAGC
This is a non-coding RNA of Pantherophis guttatus, 667 nucleotides long. NCBI's taxonomy places the organism in Eukaryota, Metazoa, Chordata, Lepidosauria, Squamata, Colubridae. The record is from the annotation of a RefSeq genome assembly.